AUGGCGCCAAGAAGGAGCAGCGCAGUGGCCGUCACGCUGGUAGCUUGGCUACUUGUGCUCCAGGUACUAGUCCUGUCGCCGGCGCCUGCUGCGGCGGCGCCGGCGAGGGUCUCACCGGGGGCGUUCAAGCAGGUGUACACCUUCUUGUUCAAAAAGGCUGCCAAGUCGGGCACGACUGCGCUGAUCAAGAAGCGACGUGGCAACCGCAACGGCGACCAGCUGGGUAGCGCGGCCGCCGACAACGCCGGCUACGUCGUCCUCUACAACGUCUCCAUCGGGGCCAUGGCGACGCAGCAGAACAACGUCUCCGGCGUCGUGGACGUCCUGAAUGACUUCGUCUGGACCACGCGGUGCCCGGCGGCGCCGGUCAGGAUCCCAUGCGCCAGCCAGACGUGCCGGAGCGUGAUCAACACCACCGAUGCCUGCGGUGGCGGCGACGCCAGCUGCGGGUACGUCUACAUGUACGGGCAGGGUAUCAACACCACGGGCUUCCUCGCCAACGAGACGGUCGGCGUGGGGAGCAUCGCCGGCCGCGCGUUGUUGGGGUGCAGCGCCAAUGACAGCACGCUGCCCCUCGACGGCGAGUCCGCCGGCAUCGGGUUCAACAGGGGCCCACUCUCCCUCGUGUCGCAGCUCAGCAUCUCCCGGUUCUCCUACUUCCUGGCAACCGACGAACCUGGGAGCUCCGACUCCGAGAGCGUCGUGCUCCUCGGCGACGCCGCCGUGCCGCAGACCAAAAGCAGCCGCUCCAUGCCGCUGCUCCGGAGCACCGUCUUCCCUAACUUCUACUACGUCAAGCUCACCUCCAUACAGGUCGACGGCGUGGCCCUGAGCGGCAUUCCCGCGGGGGCGUUCGACCUCGCAGCCGACGGCAGCUCCGGCGGGGUGGUGAUCAGCACGCUCUCCCCCGUCACCCUCCUCCAGGCGGCAGCCUACGAUGCGCUGAGGCAGGCCUUGGUGAGCAAGGUAAGGUCGGAGCCCGUGAACGGCUCCGCGCUCGCCGGCGGCGCCUUUGACCUAUGCUACAACGCGCAGUCCGUGGCGGCGCUGACGUUCCCCAAGAUUAAGCUGGUGUUUGACGGCGGGGAUGCGCCGGCAAUCGAGCUCACGACGGUGCACUACUUCUACAAGGACAACGUCACCGGGCUGCAGUGCCUCACCAUGUUGCCGACGCCGGCAGGUGUACCAUUCGGCUCUGUCCUGGGAAGCAUGGUGCAGGCGGGCACCAACAUGAUCUACGACGUCGGCGGCGAGACGCUGACGCUAGAGGAGGGCACGGCGGCGCCGGCGCCCUCCCAGGUAUCGCUCAUGGCGAUAGCCCCUCUGCUCCUUGCUUGGGUACUCCUCUUCUAA
Molecule: ribosomal RNA, 1353 nt
Filed under: Triticum aestivum (bread wheat)
Lineage: Eukaryota; Viridiplantae; Streptophyta; Magnoliopsida; Poales; Poaceae
Description: partial small subunit ribosomal RNA
Source: RNAcentral